This 407-nucleotide ribosomal RNA is filed under the name uncultured bacterium. RNAcentral's name for it is "partial 16S ribosomal RNA". It matches the Rfam family "Bacterial small subunit ribosomal RNA", at positions 28 to 526 of the family's 1533-position model. The record is from RNAcentral.
GACGAACGCUGGCGGCGUGCCUAAUACAUGCAAGUAGGACGCAGUUGCGAACGGGUGAGUAACGCGUAGGUAACUACCUAUUAGAGGGGGUUAACUCUUGGAAACGAUAGCUAAUACCGCAUACUAGUAGAUGGACCUGCGUUGUAUUGGCUAGUAGGUAGGGUAAUGGGCUAGCUAGGCAACGAUACAUAGCCGACCUGGCAGGGUGUGCGGGCAGACUGUGACUGGGACGCGGCAGAGACUCCUACGGGUGGCAGCAGUAGGGAAGCUGCGGCAUUUGGGGGAAUCCGGACCGGGCAGCGCCGGGUGAGUGAAGAAGGUUUUCGGAUCGUAAGGCUCUGUUGUUAAGGAAGCGGUACUUAGCCAGAAAGGGACGGCUAACUACGUGCCAGCAGCCGCGGUAAUUC